This is a small nuclear RNA of Suncus etruscus (white-toothed pygmy shrew), 107 nucleotides long. The record is from RefSeq and is a predicted model, not a curated record. NCBI's taxonomy places the organism in Eukaryota, Metazoa, Chordata, Mammalia, Eulipotyphla, Soricidae.
GUGCUCACUUCGGCAGCACAUAUAUUAAAAUUGGAACAAUACAGAGAUGAUUAGCAUGGCUCCUUCACAAGGAUGACUCGCAAAACAAUACAUAGGAGCAUAUUUUU